CGCUGGCGGCGUGCCUACACAUGCAAGUCGAACGCCCUGGUCCUUCGGGAGCAGGGAGUGGCGGACGGGUGAGGAACACGUGGGUGACCUACCCCCCGGUGAGGAAUACCGCCGAGAAAUCGGCGACAAGACCGCAUAGGCUUCCCUUGCAAGAGGGAAGCAAAGCUUCUGACGCAAGUCGGAGGCGCCAGGGGAUGGGCCUGCGCCCGAUUAGCUAGUUGGUGGGGUAAAAGCUCACCAAGGCGACGAUCGGUAGCUGGUCUGAGAGGAUGAGCAGCCACACUGGGAUUGAGAACGGCCCAGACUCCUACGGGAGGCAGCAGUGAGGAAUUUUCGGCAAUGGGGGCAACCCUGACCGAGCAACGCCGCGCGCAGGAAGACGCUUUUCGGAGUGUAAACUGCUUUUCCCAGGGACGAGCAAGGACGGUACCUGGGGAAUCAGCCCCGGCUAACUACGUGCCAGCAGCCGCGGUAAUACGUAGGGGACGAGCGUUGUCCGGAGUUACUGGGCGUAAAGGGCCCGCAGGCGGUCUGCCGCGUUUGUGCUGACAGCUCCUGGCUUAACUGGGAGAGCGGUGCGAAGACGGGCGGACUGAGA
RNAcentral lists this ribosomal RNA (598 nucleotides) under uncultured bacterium. RNAcentral describes it as "bacterial SSU rRNA". It matches the Rfam family "Bacterial small subunit ribosomal RNA", at positions 34 to 646 of the family's 1533-position model. The record is from RNAcentral.